UACAGAGGUCCCGAGCGUUGUUCGGAUUCAUUGGGCGUAAAGGGUGCGUAGGCGGCGGGGCAAGUCUGAUGUGAAAUCCUGGGGCUCAACCCUGGAACUGCAUUGGAUACUGCCUUGCUAGAGAACUGGAGAGGAGACUGGAAUUUACGGUGUAGCGGUGAAAUGCGUAGAUAUCGUAAGGAAGACCAGUGGCGAAGGCGGGUCUCUGGACAGUUCCUGACGCUGAGGCACGAAGGUCAGGGGAGCAAACGGG
Molecule: ribosomal RNA, 253 nt
Filed under: uncultured bacterium
Lineage: Bacteria
Description: partial 16S ribosomal RNA
Rfam family: Bacterial small subunit ribosomal RNA
Source: RNAcentral